Molecule: ribosomal RNA, 689 nt
Filed under: uncultured bacterium
Lineage: Bacteria
Description: bacterial SSU rRNA
Rfam family: Bacterial small subunit ribosomal RNA
Source: RNAcentral
UAACACUUAGAAAUAGGUGCUAAUACCGCAUAAGCGCAUAGCUUCGCAUGAAGCAGUGUGGAAAACAAAAAGCUAAAGCUUUUGGUGGUAUACGAUGGAUCCGCGUCUGAUUAGCUUGUUGGCGGGGUAAAGGCCCACCAAGGCAACGAUCAGUAGCCGGCCUGAGAGGGUGAACGGCCACAUUGGGACUGAGACACGGCCCAAACUCCUACGGGAGGCAGCAGUGGGGAAUAUUGCACAAUGGGGGAAACCCUGAUGCAGCGACGCCGCGUGAGUGAAGAAGUAUUUCGGUAUGUAAAGCUCUAUCAGCAGGGAAGAAAUAAAGUCCUUCGGACUUUGGACGGUACCUGACUAAGAAGCCCCGGCUAACUACGUGCCAGCAGCCGCGGUAAUACGUAGGGGGCAAGCGUUAUCCGGAUUUACUGGGUGUAAAGGGAGCGUAGACGGCAGCGCAAGUCUGGAGUGAAAUCCCAUGGCUUAACCAUGGAACUGCUUUGGAAACUGUGCAGCUGGAGUGCAGGAGAGGUAAGCGGAAUUCNCAGUGUAGCGGUGAAAUGCGUAGAUAUUAGGAGGAACACCAGUGGCGAAGGCGGCUUACUGGACUGUAACUGACGUUGAGGCUCGAAAGCGUGGGGAGCAAACAGGAUUAGAUACCCUGGUAGUCCACGCUGUAAACGAUGAUUACUAGG